This is a long non-coding RNA of Sycon ciliatum, 763 nucleotides long. RefSeq lists it as uncharacterized. The transcript is spliced from 2 exons. The record is from RefSeq and is a predicted model, not a curated record. Lineage: Eukaryota; Metazoa; Porifera; Calcarea; Leucosolenida; Sycettidae.
GCUUGUACUGCCUUCCAAAGUGAAGAGGAGAUGAACAUGGCUUUGCAUAGCUGUUGUUAUAUGCCAACUUACCUACUCUUGCUGGUACCGUAGUGGCAUAUUGCAAAUUUCGUGGACGAACACCUCUAGUCACUAGUGGCUAGUGAGCAACACUAACAGACCAGAAUGCUUCGCUAUCAACUCCUGGCUUUCCAUCGGCAUGGUGUUCAGCUGCAGCGGCAUCUGGUCCGGGGAGUUCAAGUUGCUGGAUGGCUGCACUGACACAGGAUGGGUUUGCGUUGGCAAUGCGAUACGGCAGUCAUCCCACAUCACGAGCUACAUGUUUAUGUAAUAUUAUAUUGUCGCUCGUCCAGCAACGUCAAGGCUCCGCAUGUAAAAACAGGAGAACACCAUAAUACUACUCAGGGGAUAAUAAUUUUGGAUAUCAAUUUCGUGACAAUUAUUAGAUUCACACAAUAUUCACAACGUAUGCAACACGAUGCUGUCUAUUGACACUACUUCAAACUGAAGUGCUCACUACUCCUCUCCCGUUUUCAUCUCCCUGUACCUUAUGAAUACUCUGCAUUACUGGUUUCGUUUCUACCCUUUCCAUUGCUGCCAGCUCCCAGUCUUUUUCAAUGCACAGCACCACCUUGACAGUCAUUUUUGUAAUUUGAUGUACACAUACUUUGAAGUUCAAAUUCGAAUUACAUGAUCAGAUUUUUGUUCCACAUUUUCUAUUUAUUUUUACUUCAAGCACAACCCUACCGAUGAAGGGAAAGAA